RNAcentral lists this ribosomal RNA (403 nucleotides) under uncultured bacterium. RNAcentral's name for it is "bacterial SSU rRNA". It matches the Rfam family "Bacterial small subunit ribosomal RNA", at positions 355 to 776 of the family's 1533-position model. The record is from RNAcentral.
UGGGGAAUAUUGGACAAUGGGCGCAAGCCUGAUCCAGCCAUGCCGCGUGAGUGAUAAGGCCUUAGGGUUGUAAAGCUCUUUCACCCACGACGAUAAUGACGGUAGUGGGAGAAGAAGCCCCGGCUAACUUCGUGCCAGCAGCCGCGGUAAUACGAAGGGGGCUAGCGUUGUUCGGAAUCACUGGGCGUAAAGCGUACGUAGGCGGAUCGUUAAGUCAGAGGUGAAAGCCUGGAGCUCAACUCCAGAACUGCCUUUGAUACUGGCGGUCUUGAGUUCGGGAGAGGUGAGUGGAACUGCUAGUGUAGAGGUGAAAUUCGUAGAUAUUAGCAAGAACACCAGUGGCGAAGGCGGCUCACUGGCCCGAUACUGACGCUGAGGUACGAAAGCGUGGGGAGCAAACAGG